Molecule: ribosomal RNA, 253 nt
Filed under: uncultured bacterium
Lineage: Bacteria
Description: partial 16S ribosomal RNA
Rfam family: Bacterial small subunit ribosomal RNA
Source: RNAcentral
UACGGAGGGGGCUAGCGUUGUUCGGAAUUACUGGGCGUAAAGCGCGCGCAGGCGGACCUGCAAGUCGGGGGUGAAAGCCCGAGGCUCAACCUCGGGACUGCCUUCGAUACUGCGGGUCUUGAGUCCGGGAGAGGUGAGUGGAAUUCCUAGUGUAGAGGUGAAAUUCGUAGAUAUCAGGAGGAACACCUGUGGUGUAGACAGCUUACUGGGCCACUUCUGACGCUGAGACGCGAAAGCGUGGGUAGCAAACAGG